GUCGUUCGCGUACACAGGGGCAACCCUCGCGCGAUGUCAGCAAUACCUAGGUCACCCUUGAAUAAACUACCCUUGUUGCUUUGGCGGGCCGCCCCUCGGGGCCAGCGGCUUCGGCUGCUGCGCGCCCGCCAGAGGACCACAACUCUUGUUUUUAGUGAUGUCUGAGUACUAUAUAAUAGUUAAAACUUUCAACAACGGAUCUCUUGGUUCUGGCAUCGAUGAAGAACGCAGCGAAAUGCGAUAAGUAAUGUGAAUUGCAGAAUUCAGUGAAUCAUCGAAUCUUUGAACGCACAUUGCGCCCUUUGGUAUUCCGAAGGGCAUGCCUGUUCGAGCGUCAUUAUAACCACUCAAGCCUUCGCUUGGUAUUGGGGUUCGCGGCUGCGCGGCCCCUAAAAUCAGUGGCGGUGCCUGUCGGCUCUACGCGUAGUAAUACUCCUCGCGUCUGGGUUCCGGUAGGUUGCUUGCCAGCAACCCCUAAAUUUUUUACAGGUUGACCUCGGAUCAGGUAGGGAUACCCGCUGAACUUAAGCAUAUC
This 535-nucleotide ribosomal RNA is filed under the name Cadophora sp. GL5-4-2. RNAcentral's name for it is "eukaryotic LSU rRNA". The stretch from base 184 to 337 matches the Rfam family "5.8S ribosomal RNA". The record is from RNAcentral. Lineage: Eukaryota; Fungi; Ascomycota; Leotiomycetes; Helotiales; Ploettnerulaceae.